UUUGGAAUAAUUUGUUUCUAACAAAUCUGGGUUUUUGUUUAUUUAUUCAUUUCCUUUGCAAGCAAGUUUUGAGACACUGUGCUAAGAAUUAAAUAUUCAGAUUAGUAAAAACAGCAAUAACCUUUGCCUUCAUAAAUAAAUAAUAUCUUCUGUUAAUUAUUUCCCUGAUUUUUUGCCUAGAAAUUUUUGAUGAAUGUUUUGAAGCUAAGAGGAAAGAGCCAAUAAGCAAGGUCUUCAAAUAAAUUUCCAAGCCGUAAAAUUUGUAUUAGCUUCAUUCAAAUCCUCCAUACCCAUCAUAAAAUCUAGUCUUUCUCAAAAAUAGUCUACAGGAUUUUAAUAGUAUUUUUAAAAUGAAUAAGACAAUAAUGGAAUUGAAGUUCCAUAGUUGAAUAUAUGAAGACAUUUCUUUACUACUUGAAUCCUUUACAAAUCUGUUCAAAUCUUAUAUGACAUAAAAUCCUUUGUCCUGGAGCAUCUUAUGAAACAGUACUAUGUACAAUCUGCUUUAAAAAAUAGUCUCCUAGGAAGUAUCAUACUUUAUCCUGCCCCUAGACUCUAUAUUAGUGGCCCCAAAGGCUUUGCAUGCCAUGUCUUGCUGUGGUCUUUUAAAAAUCAAUAUUAAGUCAUGGGAAAGAAUCAUUCAAAUUCUAUGUAUAAUGUGCAGAUGAUAAAAGAAAUGUGCAGUGAGAAAUUCAUUAAUUAAAUUAUGUUUCCAAACC
Molecule: long non-coding RNA, 719 nt
Filed under: Homo sapiens (human)
Lineage: Eukaryota; Metazoa; Chordata; Mammalia; Primates; Hominidae
Description: HSALNT0056485
Source: RNAcentral